RNAcentral lists this small RNA (141 nucleotides) under Acidobacteriota bacterium. Its description in RNAcentral is "Acidobacteria bacterium c-di-AMP sequence". It matches the Rfam family "c-di-AMP riboswitch aptamer (ydaO/yuaA leader)". Rfam says of the family: This family represents a conserved RNA structure found upstream of the ydaO and yuaA genes in Bacillus subtilis and related genes in other bacteria. The ydaO/yuaA element is thought to act as a genetic "off" switch for the ydaO and yuaA genes in its native state. It is believed that the element may be triggered during osmotic shock leading to activation of ydaO, a predicted amino acid transporter gene, and members of the yuaA-yubG operon which code for KtrA and KtrB K+ transporters. The record is from RNAcentral. Lineage: Bacteria; Pseudomonadati; Acidobacteriota.
GAUAGUCAACGGCCUAAGUCCUGCGCCAUUCGCAGGACGCGGGGGACCCAAGCUCUUGGGGCGCAUUGGCGUUUCGACGCCAUAGGACAUUCCGAGUCCGAGCCCGUCAGCUAACCCCGCCGGCGUGACGCGGAAGGCGCG